RNAcentral lists this ribosomal RNA (207 nucleotides) under uncultured bacterium. RNAcentral's name for it is "partial 16S ribosomal RNA". It matches the Rfam family "Bacterial small subunit ribosomal RNA", at positions 568 to 774 of the family's 1533-position model. The record is from RNAcentral.
CGCGUAGGCGGAAAUAUAAGUCAGACGUGAAAUUCCGGGGCUUAACCUCGGAGCUGCAUCUGAAACUAUAUUUCUAGAGGAAGGGCGGAGAAAACGGAAUUCCACAUGUAGCGGUGAAAUGCGUAGAUAUGUGGAGGAACACCUGUGGCGAAAGCGGUUUUCUAGCUUAUUCCUGACGCUGAUGCGCGAAAGCAAGGGGAGCAAACA